This is a long non-coding RNA of Malurus melanocephalus (red-backed fairy wren), 221 nucleotides long. RefSeq lists it as uncharacterized. NCBI's taxonomy places the organism in Eukaryota, Metazoa, Chordata, Aves, Passeriformes, Maluridae. The record is from RefSeq and is a predicted model, not a curated record. The transcript is spliced from 3 exons.
AAUGGGGAAAAAUGGGGGAAAAAUGGGGAAAAUGGGCAAAAAACUGCUCAGCAACUGCCAGUGGAUCUCCAGCAUGGACGUGCAUCCGGGAGGUGACCACGUGAUCUGCGGGAGCUACGACAGCAAACUGGCCUGGUUCGACCUGGACCUGUCCACGCGGCCSUACCGGCUCCUGCGGCACCACCGCUGCGCUCUCCGCUCUGUGGCGUUCCAUCGCCGUU